This 746-nucleotide ribosomal RNA is filed under the name Priestia megaterium. RNAcentral describes it as "bacterial SSU rRNA". It matches the Rfam family "Bacterial small subunit ribosomal RNA", at positions 40 to 770 of the family's 1533-position model. Lineage: Bacteria; Bacillati; Bacillota; Bacilli; Caryophanales; Bacillaceae. The record is from RNAcentral.
CGGGGGUGCUAUACAUGCAAGUCGAGCGAACUGAUUAGAAGCUUGCUUCUAUGACGUUAGCGGCGGACGGGUGAGUAACACGUGGGCAACCUGCCUGUAAGACUGGGAUAACUUCGGGAAACCGAAGCUAAUACCGGAUAGGAUCUUCUCCUUCAUGGGAGAUGAUUGAAAGAUGGUUUCGGCUAUCACUUACAGAUGGGCCCGCGGUGCAUUAGCUAGUUGGUGAGGUAACGGCUCACCAAGGCAACGAUGCAUAGCCGACCUGAGAGGGUGAUCGGCCACACUGGGACUGAGACACGGCCCAGACUCCUACGGGAGGCAGCAGUAGGGAAUCUUCCGCAAUGGACGAAAGUCUGACGGAGCAACGCCGCGUGAGUGAUGAAGGCUUUCGGGUCGUAAAACUCUGUUGUUAGGGAAGAACAAGUACGAGAGUAACUGCUCGUACCUUGACGGUACCUAACCAGAAAGCCACGGCUAACUACGUGCCAGCAGCCGCGGUAAUACGUAGGUGGCAAGCGUUAUCCGGAAUUAUUGGGCGUAAAGCGCGCGCAGGCGGUUUCUUAAGUCUGAUGUGAAAGCCCACGGCUCAACCGUGGAGGGUCAUUGGAAACUGGGGAACUUGAGUGCAGAAGAGAAAAGCGGAAUUCCACGUGUAGCGGUGAAAUGCGUAGAGAUGUGGAGGAACACCAGUGGCGAAGGCGGCUUUUUGGUCUGUAACUGACGCUGAGGCGCGAAAGCGGGAAACC